This 212-nucleotide unclassified non-coding RNA is filed under the name Rhizophagus intraradices. RNAcentral describes it as "partial internal transcribed spacer 2". The record is from RNAcentral. Lineage: Eukaryota; Fungi; Glomeromycota; Glomeromycetes; Glomerales; Glomeraceae.
UUAAUAAAAAUCGGCGUGUUGCUCUUUUGUGAUGCUCCGGAGUUUGGGUCAUCUUAUAAUAAUACCUUUCGAGUGUUUUUUAAGUGGCUUAAAAUUGACAUCUUUUUGCGCAUUUUUUGACGUACAUAAAUUUUUUUAUUCGUUUAUUCUAAUGCCAAAAUCUAUUAGAUGCGACCAUAUCGUGUGGUUCCGUGUCUAUAAAUUUUUUCAUG